Molecule: non-coding RNA, 73 nt
Organism: Smittium simulii
Lineage: Eukaryota; Fungi; Kickxellomycota; Harpellomycetes; Harpellales; Legeriomycetaceae
Source: the annotation of a GenBank genome assembly
GUCAAGUUAGCUUAAUAGGUAAAGCAGUAAUCUUGUAAAUUACUAAAUGCGGGUUCGAAUCCGGCACUCGGCU